Caretta caretta (loggerhead turtle) is the source of this 1001-nucleotide non-coding RNA. Lineage: Eukaryota; Metazoa; Chordata; Testudines; Cheloniidae. The record is from RefSeq and is a predicted model, not a curated record.
GCUGGGAGUCAGGACUCCUGGGUUCUGUCCCUAGCUCUGAGAGGGAAGGGGAGUCUCAUGGUCAGAGGGCUGGGUUGGGGCUUGGAGUCAGGACCCCUGGCUUUUACCCGGCUGCUUUACCCAGUGUGUUUUGUUUCAAUCCGCAGUUGUGGCUGCAAAAAGAUUCUCUGAAAAUGUUUUGGUUUUUUUUAAAACAAAAUGAUGAUAAAUCUGUGCUUAAUUUAGUAACACACUGGGACAGAUGCUUUAUCGGGGAGCGGCCAGUUCAGGGGUGCAGUAAAUGGGACAUGGGGCCUUUCCCCUCUAGGGGGCGCCAGCUCCAAUCCAGCCAGGGCAGGGAAACUGGCUGGCUCAGGGGAUUGAGGCAUGGGAUACCGGGCCUUUCUCCUCUUGGGACGCCGGUUCCAUUCGCUAGUAACCAAAAGCCAUUCCCAUCUACCUGCGCCCUAUGAAUCAAACUGAUGGGGAUCCUGGCCCCAACCAUUCACUUUAGGCACCUCUGUGCCCCCUUGCUGGCGGCCUCAGUAAUUAUCAGAGGUCUGAAUUGAGGCACAUUAGGGAUGGGGGCUGAGGGAGCGGCUUCUUCUGUCCCCAGAACCCCAGUCUUUGUGUCUCAGCAGGGGGAGAUUUUAACUGGACUUAGAGCUGGAUCUAAAGCCCAUGGGAGUCAAUGGGAAGAUCUGGCUGGGCUUUGGAUCAGACCUGAGACACUUGGUCUCCAAGUCUCGUGUUUUAUGGUUUCUCUGUUCUGAUGCAGGAGGCUGCGACCGCUCUGGGCUGGGCAUGAAACUGGGAGUCAGGACUCCUGGGUUCUAUUCCUGGCUCUGGGAGGGGACCCCAGCCUUACACCAAUGCCUUAACCAGGAACCUUUAUUUUUAAGCGCUGGGUUUUUUUAAUGUGUUGGUCUUAACCCGAAGCUGAUAAAGUAUUUUUGUAUCUUUGAUUUUUGUGCGAUCUGAGAAAACAAAUUUUUUUUAAAUACAAGUUGUUGCUGCUUUUA